Molecule: long non-coding RNA, 483 nt
Filed under: Mus spicilegus (steppe mouse)
Lineage: Eukaryota; Metazoa; Chordata; Mammalia; Rodentia; Muridae
Description: lncRNA (ENSMSIG00000028504.1)
Source: RNAcentral
CUCCGGCUCUGCAGCUGUGGCCAGCAGAAGACAAGGGCGCUGCCAAGGAGACAGGACCACCCACAGGACCCCAGGAGGGGCUGAUCAGGGCCUGGAAGCUCAGCUCAGCUCUUGACAUCUCUGAGGAGACCCCACCCCACCCCUCUAGUUUCCUGCCCUCCGGGAUCCAGCUGAUCUCCCGAAACUGUUCCUCUGAAAGUGUGCCAGCCUCCAAGGUUGUCUACUCCGGGGCUACAGAAGGCACGGAUUUCUCUUGUUUGUUUUAAAAUGACUCUCAUUCCCAAAGGAAGUCAGUCAAGAGGUAAAGAGAAGUCUGACUAAUUAGCUACUCCAUUCCCAGCGUUUUACAUGCAUGACCUAGUUGGAGUGAAAGACCCAUCCAAGGUCAAUGAGCUUGACUUGACACACAGCAGACUCUUUACACACAGGCUUGAGCAGCUUGUGUCUACUUCCCAAGACAAGAAGCAGCACAGCACCUUCUAA